RNAcentral lists this ribosomal RNA (400 nucleotides) under uncultured bacterium. RNAcentral describes it as "bacterial SSU rRNA". It matches the Rfam family "Bacterial small subunit ribosomal RNA", at positions 28 to 410 of the family's 1533-position model. The record is from RNAcentral.
GACGAACGCUGGCGGCGUGCUUAACACAUGCAAGUCGAGCGGUAAGGCCCUUUCGGGGGUACACGAGCGGCGAACGGGUGAGUAACACGUAGGUAAUCAACCCCCAGGUGGUGGAUAACCUUCCGAAAGGAGGGCUAAUACAGCAUGAGACCACGGUCCCGCAAGGGAUUGAGGUCAAAGCCGGCCUCUUCACGAAAGCUGGCGCCAGGGGACGAGCCUGCGGCCCAUCAGCUAGUUGGUAGGGUAANGGCCUACCAAGGCGAAGACGGGUAGCUGGUCUGAGAGGAUGAUCAGCCACACUGGAACUGAGACACGGUCCAGGACUCCUACGGGAGGCGAGCAGUGGGGGAAUCUUGCGCAAUGGGCGAAAGCCUGACGCAGCGACGCCGCGUGAGUGAUG